This 2137-nucleotide long non-coding RNA is filed under the name Equus caballus (horse). RNAcentral describes it as "lncRNA (ENSECAG00000058342.1)". Lineage: Eukaryota; Metazoa; Chordata; Mammalia; Perissodactyla; Equidae. The record is from RNAcentral.
GAGGAGCAGAGAGGAGCAGGUGUGGCUGCAGGUGGAGGUGCUUAGAGGAGAGGAGGGAAUCUCACAGGACCACUGGGCCAUGAGUGGUGGCCUGAGAUUGGACUUAAUGCCAUGUAGUAUAUGUUUUCUGUUUGAUGGAGGAAUUUAAACUUUCACCUCUUAUAGUGAGAGCUCACAUCUCCUUCAAGAAAGGAAUUAUUUCUGAUACCUCAGUGAAAUAGAGAGAGGUAAUGAAAAUGUGUCAUUUUUGGAACUAUAUGUGUUUAGGUUUCUUGACUUGACUGUUUAUUAGGUGAGUAUGUUGGAUAAAUUAACUCACCUUCUUUGAGUCUCGAAAUCUUCUGGGGCGACACGGAAAUAUUAACACGCACUUCAUGGGGCAAUGUGUGCAUGAAAUAGGAGGUCAUAUGCAAGAGCCAGCAGCAUGCCCAGCAAAUCUUUCUGCUCAAGCCCCAAGGGUUCCAUGUCACCGGGCUAAGCUGCCUGAUACUGGGUCAUCCGGGGAAAAGAAGGCAAGGUCUGCCCCAGAUAAGCCAGUAGGGAGACCAGAUGUCAUUUCUGAGGUUUUUUAACUGAGUGGAACUUUUUAUGCAGGAAAACAAGGUAAAAAUUUCCCAAGGGGUUUCUACAAGAUUUCCAGCACUUCCUAAAUUAGCCCUGACCAGUAAAACCACGAGAGAAGACUUCCUGGCAGAGCCUGGCACUUCCAUUUCCAGUCCCAACCGAAAGCAGGAAGCAUUGAGACAAGUAAUAAUUCAACUCUUCAGUUGGCUUCCAAAAUUAUCCACAUUCAGGUCACCUGGCAUUCGCACCAAAGUGAGAUGGCAGGACCAGCAGACAAUGCAGCCUUAUGAUUCAAACAGAAGAAACACUCAUCUUGAUUCCUGUGUGCUGUUUGCCAGGAGAGUUAUCACCACUUGCGGGUGCACAAGCAUUGUGAGCUUGGCCAGAGUUCACAGCUCAGUGGAACCCACCAGGCAACCCUACAGCAUUUCCUGUCGUUCCCUUUGCCUCCCAGCUCUGUCCCUGCUGGGGGCCUACUGCUUAGACAUUCUCCAUCUGUGAUUCCUUUGAGUGCAGCUCAGACAUUUCCACACCUUCUUCUCCACAUACACAGAGUGGAGACAGACCCUUCAGAGGCUGGAGGUGGAGACUUCCAACAGAGCCAGCGCAACUCCAUCCUUUCAAAAAUGGAGAAAUGAGGCCUGAGAAGUGAGGUGAAUUGCUGCCUGGAUGCAUUCAUGCCAUCUUCCUAUUAACGAGAGAUGUUACCAAAAACACUUAGAUCAGUCACCCUUUACACUAAAGCAGCAAAUAAAUUGAACGAUUCUCAAGAGAGUGGGAGAGGUUGAUCUAGAGGCUUUGUCUCCCACGAUGUGGUCUCCAAAAACCACCCUGCAUUACAAUAGCUGUGGUAGAAAGACGAUCAACAGUUCAUACUCACAGGGCUCUUGUAUUGGCACACGUCACCUUAUUUCACUCCCUCAGCACCCUUUGAAAUAAAUACUAUGGGGAUAACAAUUUUCCAUGUGUGGAAACCAACACUCAGGGAAGUGAAGUUACUAGCCCAAAGUCACAGAGAACUUGGCGGAGCUGGGGUUGGGGUCUUUGUCCUUCCAGAACAUGUAUUCCUAACUGUUGUCCAUUCUGCUGACCAUAAUGAAACAUUACCUGAACGUCCGCUAGGAGUUGCACCCAACCACUCAGUCACUGAGUUAGGAGGUGGGGGGGGGGGGGGGGGUGGUUGCUUUUUGCUGAAUUCUCCCAUCAGCAAGUGAUUUCAUGGCCUGAGGGUUGAGGCAAACUGGAAUGUGUGCAAACCGACCGAGGAACUACCCAAAUCUCUCCUUAUCUGUGCAGCAUCUGCUGUGCAAUAACUGUGUCCCCAGCACAAGCCAGAGAGAACUCUCGAUGGCUUGAUCAAGCAGCCCUUGUGCAACGGCCUGCUGCAUCCAGAAAUCUCUUACCCAAGAUCACUUCAGCCUUGCCGUUCUUGAAUGCUGGAAGGCAGCAUAGCCAGCGUGGGGUCCCGUGGUCUCAGCUCGCCGGUUCUAAUUCUCCCUCUGCUGUGCAUUAGUGUGGGCUGGGGUGAGUCGUUUCACCCCAGGCCUCAUUUCCUUCUCUUUAAAAUGUCAUA